RNAcentral lists this ribosomal RNA (468 nucleotides) under uncultured bacterium. RNAcentral's name for it is "partial 16S ribosomal RNA". It matches the Rfam family "Bacterial small subunit ribosomal RNA", at positions 28 to 507 of the family's 1533-position model. The record is from RNAcentral.
GACGAACGCUGGCGGCGUGCUUAACACAUGCAAGUCGAACGGAAAGGCCCUGCUUUUGUUGGGUGCUCGAGUGGCGAACGGGUGAGUAACACGUGAGUAACCUGCCCUUGACUUUGGGAUAACUUCAGGAAACUGGGGCUCAUACCGGAUAGGAGCUCCUGCUGCAUGUUGGGGGUUGGAAAGUUUCGGCCGUGGGGGAUGGACUCGCGGCUUAUCAGCUGGUUGGUGUGGUAGUGGCUUACCAAGGCUUGGACGGGUAGCCGGCCUGAGAGGGUGACCGGGCACCUGGGGCCUGCGAGACGGCCCAGACGCCUACGGGAGGCAGCAGUGGGGAAUAUGACAGAAUGGGCGGAAGUCUGAUGCAGCAACGCCGCGUGCGGGAUGACGGCCUUCGGGUUGUAAACCGCUUUCGCUUGUGACGAAGAGUGAGUGACGGUAAUGGGUAAAGAAGCACCGGCUAACUACGUG